GGACUACAAGGGUUUCUAAUCCUGUUUGCUCCCCACGCUUUCGCACCUCAGCGUCAGAUCUGGACCAGUUAGCCGCCUUCGCCACUGGUGUUCUUCCCAAUAUCUACGAAUUUCACCUCUACACUGGGAAUUCCACUAACCUCUUCCAGCCUCAAGGUCGCCAGUAUCAAAGGCAGUUCCGGAGUUGAGCUCCGGGAUUUCACCCCUGACUUAACGACCCGCCUACGUGCGCUUUACGCCCAGUAAAUCCGAACAACGCUAGCCCCCUUCGUAUUACCGCGGCUGCUGGCAC
Molecule: ribosomal RNA, 292 nt
Filed under: uncultured Alphaproteobacteria bacterium
Lineage: Bacteria; Pseudomonadati; Pseudomonadota; Alphaproteobacteria
Description: partial 16S ribosomal RNA
Source: RNAcentral